Rosa rugosa (rugosa rose) is the source of this 1528-nucleotide long non-coding RNA. RefSeq lists it as uncharacterized. The transcript has 2 exons. NCBI's taxonomy places the organism in Eukaryota, Viridiplantae, Streptophyta, Magnoliopsida, Rosales, Rosaceae. The record is from RefSeq and is a predicted model, not a curated record.
CUUCCUUUGCCUUGACUUGAAACAAGUGUGUUAUAGGCUUCUUUUCGUACAAUGGACUCAUAAACUGAUCAAUAUAUAAAUGAUUUGCUGAGUUGAGUGAUAGAGCCAAUAGACCCAGGUCUCAGCUUCCAGAACCACUUCCGAGCAGCACCUUCCAGGGUCAAUGAGAAAGCUCUGCACCUAAUUGCUCCAGGCACAGCAUACAGCACCAUCCAAUAGUGAAAACUAUCAAGAUGUACAGCAGGCUGGGUCCCCCUGCCCCUCACCAGAAUAAGCCUUGAUUUGUAGCAUCUCAAAGUUGGUUGGCAAAGGGGCCUCAAGGAGUUCUCUAGUGAAGGGAGACUCAACAGUUCGACAAUCAUAAUUCCCAUCGGUUAUUCCCAUAAAAAAAUGGCUGAUAAAGGAUUCGCAGAGCUGGGUGAAAGAACCAAUAGCUAGACCCAGGUUUGAGGCAGGAACUGAACCACUUCCGAGCUGCACAACUCAAUGUCAGGGGCAAAACUUGACACAUUAAUGCUUGUGAUACGCCUUGCAGCUCCAUCCAAGAACGAAAGACUUGAAGGUGCUCGACAGGAUCUCCCUGACCAGAGUAAGCCUCAAUUCUUGGCAUCUUAAAGUUAAGUGGCACGGGUGCCUCAACAACUUCUGUAGUAAAGGGAUGACUAGGUUCCCUAUCUUCCAUAAAACCUCCCUCACCAGAGUAAGCCUCAAAUUCGGGAAUCUUCAACUUAGCGGUAAAGGUGCCUCUUCUUCCAUCUUCAACUUAGCGGUAAAUAUACAUAUAAUUAAUCGGUUAUAAUAAUUAGACAAGUUAUCAAGAAAACUAAAACAUUUUCUUCAUAUUAUCUAUAAUCUAAAGGGCGUCAACUGUUCAUUCGCGUGGCCACUGUUCAUUCGAGCCCGAAGUAAAUGACGCUUUUGCCCUUAAUUUUUUCUUAAGUUACAUCCCUGCUAUUCAGUCUGUUAUAAAUACCCGCCGACGAUUUUGCCCUCCCUUUCUAAUCAAAUUACACCCAUUUGCCCUGCCCUGCUGAUCUGCUGAGAGAUAGAAAGAAGAUUGCGAGAGAGAAAUAUAACAGAGUUCUUCUGGGUCUUCUGCGAGAGAGAGAGAGAGAGAGAAUGAAGGCUGAUCCGAGAGAGAUGAAGAACAUAAGACGGGAAGAGGAAGAACUAUUCGAUACACCAAGUUGUGGAGAAUAGGCCUGAUGCAAAGUCCUAUGUAGGUAUGGAGUGAGUAUCCUACAUUGAAAUUUUUUUCCAAAGGGCAACAAGGAUGGUGAAGUGUAUGGUGGAGGCUGAGAUUUGGAAUAUUUUGUAAAUUUCAUCAGUGAGAAAUGUAGGACUAGCACAGAUGCGAAAGGGCAACUUAUUUCCAUAGUUAGUACCAUUUUAAACCAAUAAAUGUACCUCAUUAGUUUCCUUAUCGAUUAUCUUCUUUUAUGUAGGCUGAAAUAGUCUCAAGUUUGGAGUUUGUUAUGUAAAACCAUAACAUAUUCGGUUAAUAUUUCUUAGCUUAUGAUUACUACUA